GCAUCGUUGGUCUAGUCGGCUCAAGACCUCGGCUUGCCAUGUCGAGAACAUCGGUUCAAAUCCGAUACGAUGCU
This 74-nucleotide transfer RNA is filed under the name Blastocatellia bacterium. RNAcentral describes it as "tRNA-Gly". It matches the Rfam family "tRNA". Rfam says of the family: Transfer RNA (tRNA) molecules are approximately 80 nucleotides in length. Their secondary structure includes four short double-helical elements and three loops (D, anti-codon, and T loops). Further hydrogen bonds mediate the characteristic L-shaped molecular structure. tRNAs have two regions of fundamental functional importance: the anti-codon, which is responsible for specific mRNA codon recognition, and the 3' end, to which the tRNAs corresponding amino acid is attached (by aminoacyl-tRNA synthetases). tRNAs cope with the degeneracy of the genetic code in two manners: having more than one tRNA (with a specific anti-codon) for a particular amino acid; and 'wobble' base-pairing, i.e. permitting non-standard base-pairing at the 3rd anti-codon position. Lineage: Bacteria; Pseudomonadati; Acidobacteriota; Blastocatellia. The record is from RNAcentral.